CCUACGGGAGGCAGCAGUGGGGAAUUUUGGACAAUGGGCGCAAGCCUGAUCCAGCCAUGCCGCGUGAGUGAAGAAGGCCUUCGGGUUGUAAAGCUCUUUCGGCCGGGAAGAAAUCGUGUUCUCUAACAUAGGACAUGGAUGACGGUACCGGACUAAGAAGCACCGGCUAACUACGUGCCAGCAGCCGCGGUAAU
Molecule: ribosomal RNA, 194 nt
Filed under: uncultured bacterium
Lineage: Bacteria
Description: partial 16S ribosomal RNA
Rfam family: Bacterial small subunit ribosomal RNA
Source: RNAcentral